This 481-nucleotide ribosomal RNA is filed under the name uncultured bacterium. RNAcentral's name for it is "partial 16S ribosomal RNA". It matches the Rfam family "Bacterial small subunit ribosomal RNA", at positions 31 to 507 of the family's 1533-position model. The record is from RNAcentral.
GAACGCUGGCGGCAGGCCUAACACAUGCAAGUCGAGCGGAUGAAGGGAGAUUGCUCCUGGAUUCAGCGGCGGACGGGUGAGUAAUGCCUAGGAAUCUGCCUGGUAGUGGGGGAUAACGUCCGGAAACGGGCGCUAAUACCGCAUACGUCCUGAGGGAGAAAGUGGGGGAUCUUCGGACCUCACGCUAUCAGAUGAGCCUAGGUCGGAUUAGCUAGUUGGUGGGGUAAAGGCCUACCAAGGCGACGAUCCGUAACUGGUCUGAGAGGAUGAUCAGUCACACUGGAACUGAGACACGGUCCAGACUCCUACGGGAGGCAGCAGUGGGGAAUAUUGGACAAUGGGCGAAAGCCUGAUCCAGCCAUGCCGCGUGUGUGAAGAAGGUCUUCGGAUUGUAAAGCACUUUAAGUUGGGAGGAAGGGCAGUAAGUUAAUACCUUGCUGUUUUGACGUUACCAACAGAAUAAGCACCGGCUAACUUCGUG